Molecule: ribosomal RNA, 1934 nt
Filed under: seawater metagenome
Description: bacterial LSU rRNA
Rfam family: Bacterial large subunit ribosomal RNA
Source: RNAcentral
CUCUUCCGAUCUGUGCAUACGACGGAUGCCUUGGCAGUAGAAGGCGAUGAAGGACGUGAUAAUCUGCGAUAAGCUUCGGUUAGCUGAUAAUAAGCUCUAACCCGGAGAUCUCCGAAUGGGAAAACCCAGUGAUCAUAAGAUCAUUAUCCUUAACUGAAUACAUAGGUUAAGGAGGCAAACCUAGGGAACUGAAACAUCUAAGUACCUAGAGGAAAAGAAAUCAACCGAGAUUCCCUUAGUAGCGGCGAGCGAACGGGGACCAGCCCUUAAGCAAUUUUUUGAUUAGUAGAAUGUUCUGGAAAGUUCAACGACACAGGGUGAUAGUCCCGUAUACGAAAAUCUUUUAAUUGUGAAAUCGAGUAAGGCGGCGCACGUGAAACGCUGUUUGAAUAUGGGGGGACCACCCUCCAAGGCUAAAUACUCUCUACUGACCGAUAGUGAACAAGUACCGUGAGGGAAAGGCGAAAAGAACCCCGGGAGGGGAGUGAAAUAGAACCUGAAAUCGUAUGCAUACAAGCAGUGGGAGCAGACUUGUUCUGUGACUGCGUACCUUUUGUAUAAUGGGUCAGCGACUUACUUCUCAGUAGCAAGGUUAACCAUUAGGGGAGCCGUAGGGAAACCGAGUCUUAAAUGGGCGUUUAGUUGCUGGGAGUAGACCCGAAACCGGGUGAUCUAUCCAUGGUCAGUGUGAAGGUUAGGUAAAACUAACUGGAGGCGCGAACCCACUUAUGUUGAAAAAUGAGGGGAUGAACUGUGGAUAGGGGUGAAAGGCCAAACAAACCCGGAGAUAGCUGGUUCUCUCCGAAAUCUAUUUAGGUAGAGCGUCAUGUAUUACUUCUGGGGGUAGAGCACUGUUAUGGCUAGCGGGUCGUCAAGACUUAGUAAACCAUUGCAAACUCCGAAUACCAGAAAGUAUGAGCAUGGCAGACACACUGCGGGUGCUAACGUCCGUAGUGGAAAGGGAAACAACCCAGACCGUCAGCUAAGGUCCCAAAAUUAUAGUUAAGUGGGAAACGAUGUGAAAAGGCCCAGACAGCCAGGAGGUUGGCUUAGAAGCAGCCAUUCCUUUAAAGAGUGCGUAAUAGCUCACUGGUCGAGUCGGUUUGCGCGGAAGAUUUAACGGGGCUAAACUAUAUACCGAAGCUGCGGAUCGCAAUUUAUUGCGAUGGUAGGAGAGCGUUCUGUAAGCCGUUGAAGGUGAACUGUGAGGUUUGCUGGAGGUAUCAGAAGUGCGAAUGCUGACAUGAGUAACGAUAAAGGGGGUGAAAAACCCCCUCGCCAGAAGUCCAAGGUUUCCUACGCAACGUUAAUCGGCGUAGGGUUAGUCGGCCCCUAAGGCGAGGCAGAAAUGCGUAGUCGAUGGGAAACGGGUUAAUAUUCCCGUACUUCAUAUAACUGCGAUGGGAAGACGGAGAAGGUUAGCUCAGCAAGGCGAUGGUUGUCCUUGUUCAAGCGUGUAGAAAUGGUUCUUAGGAAAAUCCGGGAACCUCUAUUUCAAGGCGUGAUAACGAUCCCUCUUUUGGGAGAAGUGAGUGAGACCAUGCUUCCAGGAAAAUCCUCUAAGCUUCAGGUUAUAUGAAACCGUACCCCAAACCGACACAGGUGGACGAGAUGAGAAUUCUAAGGCGCUUGAGAGAACUCGGGUGAAGGAACUAGGCAAAAUGACACCGUAACUUCGGGAGAAGGUGUACUCUUGUUAUGUGAUAUCACUUGCUGAUAAAGCAGAAAAGAGUUGAAAAUACUAGGUGGCUGCGACUGUUUAUUAAAAACACAGCACUCUGCAAACACGUAAGUGGACGUAUAGGGUGUGACUCCUGCCCGGUGCUUGAAGGUUAAUUGAUGAGGUUAGCGCUUGCGCGAAGCUUUUGAUCGAAGCCCAAGUAAACGGCGGCCGUAACUAUAACGGUCCUAAGGUAGCGAAAUUCCUUGUCGGG